GUUUCCGGUUAAAUCCAUUAGCUCAACUAAUGGGCUGCCGAAAAUACUGCAGAACUAGGGAGUGGGAGAGGUAGACGGUACUCGGUAGGAAGGGGUAAAAUCCUUUGAUCUAUUGAUGACCACCAGUGGCGAAGGCGGUCUACCAGAACACGUUCGACGGUGAGGGAUGAAAGCUGGGGGAGCAAACCGGAUUAGAUACCCGGGUAGUCCCAGCUGUAAACGAUGCAGACUCGGUGAUGCGCUGGCUUGUGGCCAGUGCAGUGCCGCAGGGAAGCCGUUAAGUUUGCCGCCUGGGAAGUACGUACGCAAGUAUGAAACUUAAAGGAAUUGGCGGGGGAGCACCACAAGGGGUGAAGCCUGCGGUUCAAUUGGAGUCAACGCCAGAAAUCUUACCCGAAGAGACAGCAGAAUGAAGGUCAAGCUGGAGACUUUACCAGACAAGCUGAGAAGUGGUGCAUGGCCGUCGCCAGCUCGUGCCGUGAGAUGUCCUGUUAAGUCAGGUAACGAGCGAGAUCCCUGCCUCUAGUUGCCACCAUUACUCUCAGGAGUAGUGGGGCGAAUUAGCGGGACCGCCGUAGUUAAUACGGAGGAAGGAAGGGGCCACGGCAGGUCAGUAUGCCCUGAAACUUUGGGGCCACACGCGGGCUGCAAUGGUAGCGGCAAUGGGUUCCGAAUCCGAAAGGUGGAGGUAAUCCUCAAACGCUACCACAGUUAUGAUUGAGGGCUGCAACUCGCCCUCAUGAAUAUGGAAUCCCUAGUAACUGCGUGUCAUUAUCGCGCGGUGAAUACGUCCCUGCUCCUUGCACACACCGCCCGU
RNAcentral lists this ribosomal RNA (817 nucleotides) under uncultured archaeon. RNAcentral describes it as "bacterial SSU rRNA". It matches the Rfam family "Archaeal small subunit ribosomal RNA", at positions 537 to 1353 of the family's 1478-position model. The record is from RNAcentral.